Molecule: small RNA, 136 nt
Filed under: Oribacterium parvum ACB1
Lineage: Bacteria; Bacillati; Bacillota; Clostridia; Lachnospirales; Lachnospiraceae
Description: Oribacterium sp. ACB1 Clostridiales-1 RNA
Rfam family: Clostridiales-1 RNA
Source: Rfam by way of RNAcentral
UAAAACAAGGAUUAAGACAAAAAAAAUCUGCUGCAAGCUAGCUUGUAAGCAGAUUUUUUUUGUCUUAAUCCGCAAACGCAUGAGCAACGAGCGAAGCGAGUUGCGAAUGUGUUUGUAGGACGGAGUCCAUGUUUUA